GCGACUCCAGGUCAGG
RNAcentral lists this ribosomal RNA (16 nucleotides) under Tacazzea apiculata. RNAcentral describes it as "partial 26S ribosomal RNA". Lineage: Eukaryota; Viridiplantae; Streptophyta; Magnoliopsida; Gentianales; Apocynaceae. The record is from RNAcentral.